CUAGUUGGGAAGGGUGUUAUUGUUUUCGGAGUGGGUCGGGUCCUCGGGCCCAAGCCCAUACAAAAAAACAGCUCCCUAUUGGGGAUUAGGGGUUUUAAUUCCACCCAAUAAACAGAACUAGGGUUUUAACGCCUCCCCUAUAUAACCUCUUUGGUAUCAUCAUGAGUGUUGUUAUAGUUGUGCAGUUUGCAAGGCCAAGAGGUUCUAAGCUCAGCUUAGAAGAAUACUAUGGAGGUGAAGUAAGAAAUAACAUUCUAAUGGACUAGAACAGAAGCAAAGAGGAGGCAAACCUUGCUGGACGACUUAAGGAUUAAAGGAUGGACAUUGACAUUUUCUUAGAUAUAGGUAUCUGAAUGUGAAGGGGUGAUUCAAUUACAUUGUAAUUGUCACGAUUAGGGUUUUUGUUUUGGCUGUUGGUUUGCUAUUUAUUUAUUGAAUAUGUAUACAUUUCCUAUAAUAAAAUGUCAAUUUGGUUGUAAUUUUGAA
Arachis stenosperma is the source of this 486-nucleotide long non-coding RNA. RefSeq lists it as uncharacterized. The transcript has 2 exons. The record is from RefSeq and is a predicted model, not a curated record. Lineage: Eukaryota; Viridiplantae; Streptophyta; Magnoliopsida; Fabales; Fabaceae.